GAUGACACCAAGGACACACCAUCAUGAAGACAGAGCUCACCCUCUCCAGCGGAAUCAACAGUUUGAAGGACAGACUUUUCCCCUAAAGAAGCGUGUGGUCCCUCUGAUUAAGUGGUUCUCAACAGUUCAACAGUUCUUUGAAAAAAUUGUGAAAUGUUUAGGACCACUUGACCAGUCAGACAAAUGCUGCCAGCUUGGGAAAAUGUUGCCUUUGAAUGGAUCUUUAAACACGAAAACGUCUCUCAAGUCUCCUGAUUUGGAAGGAUUUUAGAAAAACUGUGAUUUUUCUCGUCUUCUCUGUUUCCUUAGUGUCUCUCUCUCUGUGUCUUCUACUCUCAUUGUGUCCUCUUGUGUUACAUUGCCAACUGCAGUCCAGGAACUGUGGGGGGCUGUAAAAAAUGAUCAGGCUUCAGUAAUUUUGUUCUGCUGGUACAUGUUUAAAUUUUUAACAGCUCUGCUGCUGCAGUAACACCCGUCUUUCCGCUGCUUUACUGUCGCCACUAUUCAGAAAUACUAAUUAAAAAGUCAAUAAAGAAU
Etheostoma spectabile (orangethroat darter) is the source of this 537-nucleotide long non-coding RNA. RefSeq lists it as uncharacterized. The transcript is spliced from 2 exons. Lineage: Eukaryota; Metazoa; Chordata; Actinopteri; Perciformes; Percidae. The record is from RefSeq and is a predicted model, not a curated record.